CCCUACUUCCCCGUGCUCCUUCUACAACAUCACAUGGUUUCUUUAAAUACACCUCAUGCCUUACUUUGAAAACCCUCUGUUGCGAGUGUACUUAUACAUUAGAUUAUUAGAAUUUCAAUAUGUUUUAUGAAAAUUGUAAGUAGCAAAAUAAACAGCCAAGGCAGAAGAAAAUGAUGAAUUAUCCAGACAAGCUCUCCGAUCUAAGGACCUUUAAGGCUACUCUCUCAGUCUGCAGAAUCUCUUUGAAGAUUUCUACGUGGAAUAAGAAUCUGGCCAACAGCAUUUUACAAAGAUGUUAUGACAUCCCCAAAGGUUGCUCCAUGUAUUCUACAUGAAAUGUUUCUUUUGUGUAAUAGCAUAGAGUACUAUGUUAUUACACAAAAUUCCAAUUCCCAGAGGCAAGAAGAGAAAGCAAGAAAUUGUGCAGAGCUUGAAGCUGAGAACCGGCCACUGCAUGGCUUCAAAUAGCUGCUCAACAUUUGACUCACCUAACCGUAACAAGAUCUGAAUACAACCAACUGGAUUGCAGAAGGGAGAUGGUGCUCAUAGCCCAGAGAUAUUACACUCCAAGAAAUCAAUAAAUCUAGUAACUUUGGCUCUUAUUACCAAUGGGUAGGUAGAGGUAAAGGACUAAAUUUUAAUGAAAUACUGUUCUAAAAAAGCCACCUCAGAGUUAGUGGCUGCAAAAUUCUGAAAAUAAAAGCU
This is a long non-coding RNA of Canis lupus familiaris (dog), 705 nucleotides long. RefSeq lists it as uncharacterized. The record is from RefSeq and is a predicted model, not a curated record. The transcript has 5 exons. Lineage: Eukaryota; Metazoa; Chordata; Mammalia; Carnivora; Canidae.